Molecule: long non-coding RNA, 454 nt
Organism: Anopheles darlingi
Lineage: Eukaryota; Metazoa; Arthropoda; Insecta; Diptera; Culicidae
Exons: 3
Source: RefSeq, a predicted model, not a curated record
UAUUUUCGGAUUUAUGCGUACAAGUAUUGAAAGAUUAAUUGUCCGAAGGAAUCAUCAUAUUUCUAAUUCAGUCUGAUGAGAUGUUGUCGCUCUUUCAAAGUUCUCUAAUCAUUACUUCUACCACCACAGAUGACGUGUUUAAAUGAUCUUUUUAAGUUCCGGAAUGCUGUGCCAGCGGCCUGCAUCACUGACCGGAAUGGAAUGCAUUUAACAUUUUACAUACAGUGAACCGAUACAAGCAUCCAGUUUAACGGACAUCAUUACCUGUUUCGAUGGUUUUAGUAUCAGCCUUGGCUUCUUUGAUUUGUUCCAUCAAUUCCUUCGCAGCCUCCUCGCAGUUGUUGAAGCCAGGUUUACUUACACCAAACAGAAUCAGCAGGAAGAUCGGCGAGAGCUGGAUUUCCAACAUGUAUUGAUCCAGCAGCUCGUGCUUAACUUGCCGCAAAACAAUCGC